This 377-nucleotide long non-coding RNA is filed under the name Bos taurus (domestic cattle). RNAcentral's name for it is "long non-coding RNA NONBTAT020548". Lineage: Eukaryota; Metazoa; Chordata; Mammalia; Artiodactyla; Bovidae. The record is from RNAcentral.
AGUGCUAGGAUCUUAACAAGUAUUUCUCUUAAUCAAGAAAACAUUCAUUAAUUCUAUAGCUGAUACUUUAAGAUAAUUAUUUAAUAACAUCUAAAAAUAUUGUAGAAUAUUUAGGGGUUUUUCUUUAAAGCCAAUAUUCAAAAUUUAAACUUAUUUCUGAUAAUUUUUCACUUGGCAUUUCAGAUAGAAUUAGUGUCACUGAGAGGGUUCAGUGAGCUAUGUUAAGUAAUUACUAAUUUUAAAAUUCAGUUUUCACCUUGGGUUAUAGGUUUGGACAAAUGAUUUUGAAAUUUAACCAUUAUACACACACAUAUGCAUAUAUGUAUACACACCAGAUUUUGCCAGUAAAAUGUUUGUGGUAUAUACUCAAUUACAUG